This 510-nucleotide ribosomal RNA is filed under the name uncultured bacterium. RNAcentral describes it as "bacterial SSU rRNA". It matches the Rfam family "Bacterial small subunit ribosomal RNA", at positions 11 to 507 of the family's 1533-position model. The record is from RNAcentral.
GUUUGAUCCUGGGCUCAGGAUGAACGCUAGCUACAGGCUUAACACAUGCAAGUCGAGGGGAAACGAUAUUGGAAGCUUGCUUCCGAUAGGCGUCGACCGGCGCACGGGUGAGUAACGCGUAUCCAACCUGCCCAUCACUUGGGAAUAACCUUGCGAAAGUAAGACUAAUGCCCAAUGACAUUUAUAGAAGGCAUCUGAAAUGAAUUAAAGAUUUAUCGGUGAUGGAUGGGGAUGCGUCUGAUUAGCUUGUUGGCGGGGUAACGGCCCACCAAGGCGACGAUCAGUAGGGGUUCUGAGAGGAAGGUCCCCCACAUUGGAACUGAGACACGGUCCAAACUCCUACGGGAGGCAGCAGUGAGGAAUAUUGGUCAAUGGGCGAGAGCCUGAACCAGCCAAGUAGCGUGCAGGAAGACGGCCCUAUGGGUUGUAAACUGCUUUUAUAGGGGAAUAAAGUGAGCCACGUGUGGUUUUUUGCAUGUACCCUAUGAAUAAGGACCGGCUAAUUCCGUG